Molecule: unclassified non-coding RNA, 400 nt
Filed under: soil metagenome
Description: partial contains 5.8S ribosomal RNA, internal transcribed spacer 2, and large subunit ribosomal RNA
Rfam family: 5.8S ribosomal RNA (bases 1-122)
Source: RNAcentral
GAUGAAGAACGUAGCGAAAUGCGAUACUUGGUGUGAAUUGCAGAAUCCCGUGAACCAUCGAGUCUUUGAACGCAAGUUGCGCCUCAAGCCAUUAGGUUGAGGGCACGUCUGCCUGGGCGUCACAUAUCGUUGCCUGAUGCCAGUUUCCUCGUGAUGGGUGACUGUGCAGGGCGAAUGAUGGCUUCCCGUGAGCAUUGUUGCCUCAUGGUUGGUCGAAAAUUGAGUCCUUGGUAGGGAGCGCCGUGAUAGAUGGUGGUUGAGUGACGAACGAGACCCAAUCAUGUGAGACCCCUACCGAAUUUGGCCUUCAUGACCCACAUGCGUCUUUGGAACGCUCAUGACGAGACCUCAGGUCAGGCGGGGCUACCCGCUGAGUUUAAGCAUAUCAAUAAGCGGAGGA